This 444-nucleotide unclassified non-coding RNA is filed under the name soil metagenome. RNAcentral's name for it is "partial contains 5.8S ribosomal RNA, internal transcribed spacer 2, and large subunit ribosomal RNA". The stretch from base 1 to 121 matches the Rfam family "5.8S ribosomal RNA", at positions 35 to 154 of the family's 154-position model. The record is from RNAcentral.
GAUGAAGAACGCAGCAAAAUGCGAUACGUAAUGCGAAUUGCAGAAUUCAGUGAAUCAUCAAAUCUUUGAACGCAAAUUGCGCUCUCGGGAUAGGCCUGAGAGCACGCCUCUUUGAGUAUCGAUUCAAACACAACUCGCCUGCGUGCUUGUUAAGCAUGCGAGGUAGUUGGAAACUGAGUUUCUUGCUUUGGCAAGAUUCUUCAAAUAACAUAAACUGCUCGAGUUGCGAUUAUGUGAAUCCGCUCUUGGGCUCUUUGCAUGGGUAAUAGCACAAUCUCUCGUAGAUGUGUUUUCUCAAUGUAAUCAGCUGAAAGCGCGUUUCACUGCCAAUUCAAAAGAGUAGUGACCCUCUCACGAGUCUUUGGCUCUGAGAAACUAUUUUGAACUAGAUCUCAAAUGAAGCGAGGAAACCCGCUGAACUUAAGCAUAUCAAUAAGCGGAGGA